RNAcentral lists this ribosomal RNA (375 nucleotides) under uncultured organism. Its description in RNAcentral is "partial 16S ribosomal RNA". It matches the Rfam family "Bacterial small subunit ribosomal RNA", at positions 526 to 896 of the family's 1533-position model. The record is from RNAcentral.
GUAGGGGAGCAAGCGUUAUCCGGAUUUACUGGGUGUAAAGGGCGCGCAGGCGGGGAAGACAAGUUGGGGAGUGAAAUCCGGGAGGCUCAACCCCCGAACUGCUUUCAAAACUGUUUUUCUUGAGUGAUGGAGAGGCAGGCGGAAUUCCCAGUGUAGCGGUGAAAUGCGUAGAUAUUGGGAGGAACACCAGUGGCGAAGGCGGCCUGCUGGACAUUAACUGACGCUGAGGCGCGAAAGCGUGGGGAGCAAACAGGAUUAGAUACCCUGGUAGUCCACGCCGUAAACGAUGGAUACUAGGUGUGGGAGGUAUUGACCCCUUCCGUGCCGGCGUUAACACAAUAAGUAUCCCACCUGGGGAGUACGAUCGCAAGGUUG